AUUCAGGAAUCCCUCACCACCAUCUUCUCUCUCCCUAUUGCCGUCUCUCUCUCUCCCGCCGCCGCCGUGUGUCUCUCUCUCGGCCGCCGCGCCUCUCGCCUGCCCUCGCCACGCAGAGCACCUCCAGCCUUGGCUCCAGACUCUAGCCUCGCUCCUCUUUUCCUUUGCCACUGUUCCCCACGGUCGUUCCCUUUCGCUCCACUCCGGCCUCGCUCCACCCCGUGCCCAUCGCCGCCGUGGGGGGCUAGCCCUCGUCGGCGCCGCGCUUCCUCAACGGUGCCACCACGUCGCACGAUCUCAUCCCCCAUGCUGUCACUGCUCCAGUGCGACGUCCGUCAAAUUCAAUCGGCGCGCCCAUGCUGUUGAUGCAAGGGCCUGUCGCCGGCACCCACAACCCCGUUCUUGAUAGCCUAAUAGCCUUGAUCUGAAAGUUUGCAUCCUUGGCCUCGAUUUGAAGCACCUUAGCAUCACCAUUCAGGUAUCCAUGCCCAACGCCAUCUCAAUUCUCUAGCCCUACUGACCAAUUUUUUUGUUAAUUAUAGCACCUAUUGAUCUGUAUGUAUGCAUUGUUUGUUGGUUGUGCACAGAUUCCUUAUCCAAUAGGUACUACAUGAUGCGUAAUUUUAGGAUUGUAAGUAAUAUGAGAAAGCCAAAUUGUACCUAUUCAUUGUAUUGAUAGGAUUGCAAUACUGCUCUACUAAAAAAUUAUACCCGUUCCCUAUAUUGAUGAGUAGCAUAGCCUGAAAAAUAAAAAUUAUGUCGAAAUACUUUCUUAUCUUGAUAGAUUAUUUCCCUCUUUCAAUAUCUUUUACUCGUUCCUUUGGGUUACUUGUAAAUUAUAUAUGUAUAAAGUUCUGUUAUUAGUUCCUUUAGAUUUUUAGAAGUACAUAUGAUCAAUGUGUACAGUGACAACUCAAUCUUCUUAUAGCUGCACGGACAAGGCUAAAUAUUGUUACAAGUAUUAUUCUCCAUAGCUCUUUGCCUCUUUCAUAAAAAAUGAUCAGUGCUUAAAUGAUAGAACUUUUUGUGUUGUUUUAUGAACAUGUCAACUGAGAGGAUGUCUAAUAACGAAAGUGUGGCAUUACUUCCCGAAAGUGCUGGUGAAGUUGCAUAAAAUUCCAAUCGCAGUAGGAAGAGAUCUGCAGUUUGGCAGUAUUUUGAAGAGUUGCCUAGUGAAGGAAAGGCAAUAUGCAUUCAUUGCGGGUCAAAAUUUGCUUAUCACAAAGCAAAGGAGUUCCAAAGUAACAUUUCAUCAUCUCCUGAAGUCAGUGGUUCUGCAAGUACGUUGUCUUUGGUGUCUGGAAAACAUAAGCUAGGGCUGGAAUUUGCUUUGUUCAAGCAGAGAAACAGACCUCAUCGCUCAAGAAGGGAUAGUGAUGGAUUAAGUGAUGAGUUACCGCUCCUUUUCAAGAUUUUGCAAGUUUUGGAUUCAGCCUGGCAGAACAUUCUUGGGUUUUUAGCCUAGCAAGUGGACAGAAAUGGUCUAUGCCACCUACAAGUUUAAUUUAUGAUUAGAGGCUAUUCUUCUUUAGUUAGGUUUAGCUCAAUCUAUAACUGAUUUAUGUUUGGCUUGUAUUCUUGAGAGAUUCUUUGGCCUCAUGGCAUUUCUUAUGCUAUGCACUAUUCUGGACAUGUCUACCAUGAGAGGGUAUUUUGUACUGAGAUGUUGCUAAACUAUUUUCCUU
This is a long non-coding RNA of Panicum hallii, 1685 nucleotides long. RefSeq lists it as uncharacterized. The record is from RefSeq and is a predicted model, not a curated record. The transcript is spliced from 3 exons. Lineage: Eukaryota; Viridiplantae; Streptophyta; Magnoliopsida; Poales; Poaceae.